CGGAGUGUAGCUCAACCUGGCAGUCUGCUGCACAUCUGAUCCAUUGGUUCCCGGUUCAAAUCCGGGCACUCCGACCA
RNAcentral lists this transfer RNA (77 nucleotides) under Candidatus Thorarchaeota archaeon. RNAcentral describes it as "tRNA-Arg". It matches the Rfam family "tRNA". From Rfam's summary of the family: Transfer RNA (tRNA) molecules are approximately 80 nucleotides in length. Their secondary structure includes four short double-helical elements and three loops (D, anti-codon, and T loops). Further hydrogen bonds mediate the characteristic L-shaped molecular structure. tRNAs have two regions of fundamental functional importance: the anti-codon, which is responsible for specific mRNA codon recognition, and the 3' end, to which the tRNAs corresponding amino acid is attached (by aminoacyl-tRNA synthetases). tRNAs cope with the degeneracy of the genetic code in two manners: having more than one tRNA (with a specific anti-codon) for a particular amino acid; and 'wobble' base-pairing, i.e. permitting non-standard base-pairing at the 3rd anti-codon position. Lineage: Archaea; Promethearchaeati; Candidatus Thorarchaeota. The record is from RNAcentral.